This 62-nucleotide small nuclear RNA is filed under the name Sorex araneus (European shrew). RNAcentral describes it as "U7 small nuclear RNA (ENSSARG00000014985.1)". It matches the Rfam family "U7 small nuclear RNA". Rfam says of the family: Animal histone pre-mRNAs are spliced by a different mechanism than nuclear pre-mRNAs and self-splicing introns. This processing involves the U7 snRNP, which contains only one RNA species: U7. Lineage: Eukaryota; Metazoa; Chordata; Mammalia; Eulipotyphla; Soricidae. The record is from RNAcentral.
AAGUGUUUUAGCUCUUUGAGCAUUUGUCUAGCAGGUUUUCCAGUUGCUACCAGAAAGCCACC